GAAUCGCUAGUAAUCGUGGAUCAGAAUGGCACGGUGAAUACGUUCCCGGGCCUUGUACACACCGCCCGUCACACCAUGGGAGUGGACUGCACCAGAAGUGGUUAGCCUAACUUCGGAGGGCGAUCACCACGGUGUGGUUCAUGACUGGGGUGAAGUCGUAACAAGGUAGCCGUAGGGGAACCUGCGGCUGGAUCACCUCCUU
RNAcentral lists this ribosomal RNA (202 nucleotides) under Halomonas elongata. RNAcentral describes it as "partial 16S ribosomal RNA". It matches the Rfam family "Bacterial small subunit ribosomal RNA", at positions 1329 to 1532 of the family's 1533-position model. The record is from RNAcentral. RNAcentral also lists the same sequence under 11 other names. Lineage: Bacteria; Pseudomonadati; Pseudomonadota; Gammaproteobacteria; Oceanospirillales; Halomonadaceae.